RNAcentral lists this long non-coding RNA (7203 nucleotides) under Setaria viridis. Its description in RNAcentral is "long non-coding RNA (SVIR_LNC007077)". Lineage: Eukaryota; Viridiplantae; Streptophyta; Magnoliopsida; Poales; Poaceae. The record is from RNAcentral.
ACAUCUAGAAUACAUGCGACAGUCUCAGGUCUAAGGACAAAGCGUAUAUGUUGUUUAAAGAGAACUACUUCUCGUGUUGGGUCAGUCCUAGCACAUGUCUCCACAUGUGUCCACAUUAUUAGUUCAACAUCUCCAUGUCCAUGACUUGUGAAACAUAGUCAUCAACUAAUACAUGUGCUAGUCUAAUAUUCAUGUGUGGCCUCACAUGAACUCCGACUAGGGACAACUUUAGAAUAACCAUACAAGUAAAGAGUUUCACAUACAAUUCACAUAAUUGCAAAUCAAUUCAAGUAGCCUUCAAUGGAUAUUCAAUGAACACAACAUACAAAUCAUGGAUACAAAUGGAAUAUCAUCAUCUCUAUGAUUGCCUCUAGGGCAUACCUCCAACAGUCUCCCACUUGCACUAGAGUCAAUCUUGAAGGUACCUAAUAUCCAUAGCUCUUACAUGCGCAUCAUGCUUAGCCUGCGGGAGUGGUUUUGUCAACGGAACAGAAAUGUUCAGAUCCGUGUGUAUUUUGCAUAUCUUGAUCUCACCCCGGUUAACGAAGUCUCGAAUGAGAUGAAAUCGCCGCAUUACGUGUUUGUUCUUCUGGUGGUUCCUUGGCUCCUUUGCUUGCGAAAUUGCCCCAUUGUUAUCACAGUAGAGAUUCAAUGGGCUGGACGCAUUCGGGAACACACCAAGCUCAAUGAGGAAAUUCCUUAUCCAAACACCUUUCUUCGCGGCUUCCGAAGCCGUGAUGUACUCGGCUUCUGUCGUAGAAUCGGCCACCGUCUCCUGCUUGGAACUCUUCCAACUAACAGCACCACCAUUUAGCGUGAACAAAAAUCCUGAUUGUGACUUUGAAUCAUCUCUGUCGGUUUGGAAACUAGCAUCGGUGUAACCUGUUACAACGAGCUCCUCCUCACCUCCAUAGACGAGGAACAUAUCUUUAGUCCUUCUCAAGUACUUAAGAAUGUUUUUCACCGCUGUCCAGUGACUCUCACCUGGAUCAUCAUACUUAGCGCAUAUGAAACAUCUGGGCGAGUACUUAUCAUUGCAUACAUGAUAGAUCCAAUAGCCGAGGCGUAUGGCAGUCUACUCAUGCGAUCCCGCUCAUCAGCAGUCGAAGGACACUGAGUCUUGCUGAGAUGUAUGCCAUGUGACAUAGGCAAGAACCCUUUCUUUGCCUCUUCCAUGCUGAAUCGCUUCAACACUUUGUCAAUGUAAGUAUCUUGGCUUAAACCUAUAAGCCUUCUCGAUCUAUCUCUAUAGAUCUUAAUGCCCAGAAUAUAUGCCGCUUCCCCUAAGUCCUUCAUCGAAAAACUAUUUUUCAGUGAAGUCUUUACGGACUCAAGCAUAGGAAUGUUAUUUCCAAUCAGUAAUAUGUCAUCCACAUAUAAGAUUAGAAAUAGUACAGAGCUCCCACUAACCUUCUUGUAAACACAAGACUCUUCUUCGUUCUUGGUGAAGUCAAACCCUUUGACCACUUCAUCAAAACGAAUGUUCCAACUCCUAGAUGCUUGCUUCAACCCAUAAAUGGAUCUCUGAAGCUUGCAUACCUUUCCAGCAUUUUUCGGAUCGACAAAACCCUCGGGCUGUAUCAUAUACACGUCCUCAGUUAGGUUUCCAUUCAGGAAAGCUGUCUUGACAUCCAUCUGCCAUAUCUCAUAAUCGAAAUAUGCAGCUAUAGCUAGAAUAAUCCGAAUGGACUUAAGCAUCACUACGGGCGAGAAGGUCUCGUCGUAGUCAACUCCUUGAACUUGUCGAAAACCUUUUGCGACAAGUCGUGCUUUAUAGAUGUGAACAUUUCCAUCCAUGUCCUUUUUCUUCUUAUAGAUCCACUUGCACUCUAUGGCUUUAACACCAUCAGGCGGGUCAACCAAGUUCCAAACUUGAUUUUCUCCCAUGGACUCUAUUUCGGAUUGCAUGGCACUCUGCCAUUUUUCGGAGUCUGGGUCCAUCAUUGCUUCUGCAUAUGUCGCAGGCUCAUCAUUGUCCAACAAUAAUAUUUCCCGCAUUUCGCGGAGCCUUGCCGACCUUCGUGGUUGUGGCGGUGCUUCUCUUGCCAUGGGUAUCUCAACUUGUUCUGCUACGUUAGCAUCACUCAUUGAUUCUUGCCCGAUCGGCUCAUCUUGAACUUCUUCAAGAUGCACUGUCUUUCCACUCUUUUCUCCUUUGAGAAACUCUUUCUCUAGGAAAACCCCGUUCCGAGCGACAAACACUUUGCUUUCUGAUCGGUUGUAGAAAUAAUAUCCCAAAGUUUCCUUUGGAUAUCCCACGAAAAUGCACUUAUCCGACUUGGGUGUGAUCUUGUCCGACUGAAGUCGCUUGACAAACACUUCACAUCCCCAAACCUUUAGAAAAGACAGACUAGGAACCUUUCCAGUCCAUAUCUCAUAUGGUGUCUUAACUACGGAUUUAGAUGGUACCCUAUUAAGUGUGAAAGCUGCUGUUUCUAGAGCGUAUCCCCAAAAUGACAACGGUAGGUCCGACUGGCUCAUCAUUGAUCGAACCAUGUCUAACAAAGUUCGAUUACGUCGCUCGGACACACCGUUUCUCUAAGGUGUUCCAGGCGGCGUAAGUUGUGGAACAAUUCCGCAACUCUUUAGAUGAUUGCUAAACUCGUGGCUCAAAUACUCGCCUCCACGAUCAGAUCGUAAGGCCUUAAUUUUCUUGCCACGCUGAUUUUCAACUUCAUUCUGAAAUUCCUUGAACUUUUCAAAGGUUUCAGACUUGUGCCUCAUCAAGUGGACAUAGCCAUAUCUACUAAAAUCAUCAAUGAAAGUUAUGAAGUAUUGGAAUCCUCCUCUAGCCGUCGUGCUCAUUGGUCCGUAUACAUCACUAUGUACGAGUUCCAACAAGUCUACUGCUCUCUUAGGAAAUCCCGUGAAAGGUGUCUUGGUCAUCUUGCCUAGCAAGCAAGCCUCGCAUGUCUCGUAUGAUUCAAAAUCAAACGAAGUUAGAAGUCCAUCAGAAUGGAGCUUCUUCAUGUGCUUUUCACUUAUAUGACCCAAACGACAAUGCCACAAGUAUGUAGGACUCAAAUCAUUAGGCCGAGGCCUUUUAGCACUUACAUUACAGACAGGUGAACCAUCAAGAUUUAAAACAAAUAAUCCAUUCACAAUGGGUGCAAAAGCCAUAAACAUAUUAUUCUUAGAGAUCACACAACCAUUGUUUUCACUCGCAAAUGAAUAACCAUCCUUCAUCAAGCAUGAAGGAGAUAAAAUGUUUCGACUUAAACUAGGAACAAAAUAACAAUUAUUCAACUCCAUAAUAAAUCCUGACGGGAGGUGGAGUUGCAUCGUCCCGACGGUCAAAGCAGCAACUCUUGCAUUAUUGCCCACGCGGAAAUCAACUUCUCCUCUUUCCACGCUUCUACUUCUUAUCAUUCCCUACAUCGAAUUGCAAAUAUGAGCAACCGAUCCGGUAUCAAAUACCCAAGAAUUAAUAAUUGUAUCAGCGAGAAAUAUGUUGUCUAUAACAUUAACAACAAGCGUACCUGAGGUAGAAGUACUCUUACUUCCGCCGUUCUUCAACGAAGCUAGGUACUGCUUGCAGUUUCUCUUCCAGUGACCAAGUUCAUGACAGUAAAAGCACUCUUUAUCUGGAGCAGGUCCAGCUUUAGCCUUGGGCGCUGGGUUUGGCUUGGACACCCCAGCCUUGCCCUUCUUCUUCCAAGAAUUGCCCUUCUUCUUAAAGGUAGGCUUGUUCUGUACAGCCAUCACAUGGCUGGUACUAGCGCUUUUCUUAAUGUCUACCUCUGCUGUCUUGAGCAUACCACACAGUUCAUUCAGACCCUUCUCCGUCCCAUGCAUAUGGUAGUUCGAGAUGAAGUUCCCAUAGCUAGGCGGAAGAGAUGAAAGAAUGAAGUCAGUGGCCAACUCUUUGCCCAUUGGGAAGCCCAGCUUCUCCAAUCGCUGAGUGUAACCAACCAUCUUGAUUACAUGUGGUCCUACUGCUGCGCCUUCUGCUAACUUGCACUCCAGAAAGGCUUUGGACACAUUGAACCUUUCGGUCCUAGCCUGUGUCUGGAACAUGUCCUUGAGCGCCACGAUCAUAUCGUGUGCCUCAUGAUUUGUUUCGAACUGCAUCUGCAGCUCGGGUUCCAUGCAAGCAAGCAUAAGGCAGCUUACCUCAAGAUUAGCAUCAAAUGCCUUCUUGUAAGCAGCCUUAACGGCAGCAGAUGCAUCAUCAGCAGGUACUGGUGGUAGUGGGGUGUCUAGAACAUCUUCCUUUUUCUCAGCCCUGAGAACAAUUCUCAGGUUACGGACCCAAUCCGAGUAGUUUGUUCCAUUCAACUUGUCCUUCUCAAGGACCGAACGCAAAGCAAACGAUGCGGUGGUGUUGCUAGGUGCCAUUUAAUCUACAACAAAAGUAAUGCAAAAUACACUAAGACAAACGUAUCCAUGAUAGAGCAAAUUACAUUAAGCUAUUUUAACAGAAUCUACUCCCACUAAAAUCAAUAUCCCUCUAUUGAAACUUAGCGAUUCAGGAUCCACAACUAACAAGUCCACUAGUGAGCUUUAGCAUCACUGCUAGCAAACGAGGUAGAUCGGUAAGCAACUUUUGCUAAUCAUAUCACAUAUGACUCCUGUUGUUGGGUGACAUCUCCAUGUCUCGGCGCCCAACCUUUAUGCCCCAAGGUCCUUAACCAUUAAGAUAACCUUGUUAAGCAAACCAACCCUUAUGCGUGUAAGUGUCCCACACAAACCCGUCUAGUCAAGGAAAACUAGUGGCACCCUAAUUUCAUAGACCCACCACUAAUUGUACAAGACAUGGGACAGCGCAAGUUUUAGUUGGGAGGUCAUACUAACUUAAACUUUGUGAGGGAUCGUUCUACUUCUAACAUCACAGCAUGCAGAAAGUAAAACAUAAACAGAAUAGCAUUCACACAGUUGUGACACAGUAUGGCCCGUUUUCAUAUGGUGAUCUCCAUCUCCAUAGAACCUGUUCACCAUGGUGAUCUCCAUCUCUAUGUUCCAUGUGCGCCAUCCUCCUGGUGAUGAGUCCUCCAAGAACUAGAGCAUGCUAUUACGCCUAAUAGCUAGUAAAGAAUCUAGUAAUGAAGAUUACAUAGUUGCUUGGAUCAUCAAAGAUUUGUACGCAGACCAUUAAAUACAAUUAAGUGACAACACAUAUGGCUCCUGCCGUGUUGCCGUACGCGCGACACGCAGGUCACGAAUGAGUUACACACAUGCAUCACAUACACAAGGGGGCCAUACUGAUCACAAGAUACAUGCAUACAUCCUGCAAAACAGAGUUAGGCGUCCUAACGUUCCAAACUUCGGAGGCCCGAAACUCCAUCUUCCAAGCCGAAUUUGGCAAAUCUAAUUUCGCCGAAAACGGCUUUCAUGUAUAACUUUUUCUGUAGAUCAAUUUUCAUAUAAAAAUCGCCCCGAUCCGAGAUCGUACCGAAAAGUUACGGCUGAUUUACCGAAGCAUACGCAUACGGCAAAAUCCCGACCCCGGCAGUAGAUCCCAUCUACUAUUGCACAUCUAAUGCGCCUGGCGUAUGACCCUGGAUCUCAAUUCGACCAAUCAUAUUGAUCUUCACUCACUGCAACUGGAUUUACGUGUAUCACUUAACUCCGAUGGCGGAAACCGACCGGUAGGAGUAUGUCGUUACACUACCAUUGCAGCAAGGGCACGAAACCAGGACAUAGAUCAAACAGAAAACUCACAUAUCUCCAUAUGCUCACAUCCCGAAUCCAAAACUAAGCAGCUACGGCUCUUGAUACCACUGUUGGGAUACGAGGUAGGCUACACUAGCGCAAAUCAAAAUUUCUACCGCGUAUAACCAGGAAGAACUGCCGUAUAAGGAUCACGGGAUUACCACUCGACGCACUACUGGUGCGGAAGAUGUAGAUAUGCGUCGAUGCAGUGAAGACGAUCACGUAGUCGUACGUAGUCGAUCAACGUAGUCGUACGUAGUCGAUCACGUCACGUCCAGCAGCUCCUCAGCAGAUCGUCCACGUGCAGCAAGAUCGCCUCCGGUGCCGCGGCUCGUCGUCGGCUCGUCGUGGCUCAUCGGCGGCUCGUCGAUGGCUCGUCCAAGUGCUGCAGGCGCAACACCUCCAAGGUAUCCACACGUGCAGGGAGGAAGCGUCGCAAGCCGGACUGCUAGAUCCGCGAGUUGCAACAGGCGAGGGCGUGGGAGGCGCGGCAGGUGUGUUUCGCCAAAAAGGUGUAAACCCUAGGGCGCCCCCACCCCUCUAUUUAUAGAGGUUCCUGAUGGGCCUCUGGAUCCGAGGCCCAUUAGUACUCCUAAACCUAAUCCAACUCGGAUCAGAUCCGAAUUGGGCUUCCAACCCCUUAAGUGUGUGACCCUAUGGGUUCGGAUACGUAUAGACAUGGCCCGAGUACUCCUACUCGGCCCAAUAGUCGGUAGCGGCCUCUAGCAAGACGUGCCAACUCCUAUACGCAUACGAAGAUCAUAUCAGACGAACCAUCACAACAUAAUAUACAUGCUAUUCCCUUUGCCUCACGAUAUUUGGUCUAGCUUCAAGCCGACCGCUCUUUCACGAUCCUGUGAUUCGUAAUCCAUUUGUAGGUUAACUCUUAACCGUACGUAGCAUGGCCAUGCAUUUUUGGAUCCGAUCACUCGAGGGGCCCAGAGAUAUCACUCUCAAUCAGAGAGGGGCAAAUCCCAUCUUGACUGACCAUGUCUCAUAGCAUGCUUCUUGACAAACCCGAAAGCUACCUUUAUAACUACCCUAUUACGGCGUAGCGUUUGAUAGCCCCUAAGUAGGUCGAUCCACAUCUAGAAUACAUGCGACAGUCUUAGGUCUAAGGACAAAGCGUAUAUGUUGUUUAAAGAGAGAACUACUUCUCGUGUUGGGUCAGUCCUAGCACAUGUCUCCACAUGUGUCCACAUUAUUAGUUCAACAUCUCCAUGUCCAUGACUUGUGAAACAUAGUCAUCAACUAAUACAUGUGCUAGUCUAAUAUUCAUGUGUGUCCUCACCUGAACUCCGACUAGGGACAACUUUAGAAUAACCAUACAAGUAAAGAGUUUCACAUACAAUUCACAUAAUUGCAAAUCAAUUCAAGUAGCCUUCAAUGGAUAUUCAAUGAACACAACAUACAAAUCAUGGAUACAAAUGGAAUAUCAUCAUCUCUAUGAUUGCCUCUAGGGCAUACCUCCAACACCCACGCCCACCACUACACCGCGCGAGCGAACAGCCAAACCUGCAAGCGCUGCCCCUUCCACAGGCGUCGCCCCUC